UACGUAGGUGGCAAGCGUUGUUCGGAAUUAUUGGGCGUAAAGGGCGCGUAGGCGGUCGUGACAAGUCACUUGUGAAAUCUCCGGGCUUAACUCGGAACGGUCAAGUGAUACUGUCGGACUAGAGUACAGAAGGGGGCAACUGGAAUUCUCGGUGUAGCGGUGAAAUGCGUAGAUAUCGAGAGGAACACCUGCGGCGAAGGCGGGUUGCUGGGCUGACACUGACGCUGAAGCGCGAAAGCUAGGGGGAGCGAACGGG
RNAcentral lists this ribosomal RNA (256 nucleotides) under uncultured bacterium. Its description in RNAcentral is "partial 16S ribosomal RNA". It matches the Rfam family "Bacterial small subunit ribosomal RNA", at positions 524 to 776 of the family's 1533-position model. The record is from RNAcentral.